Molecule: ribosomal RNA, 484 nt
Filed under: uncultured bacterium
Lineage: Bacteria
Description: partial 16S ribosomal RNA
Rfam family: Bacterial small subunit ribosomal RNA
Source: RNAcentral
AUUGAACGCUGGCGGCAGGCCUAACACAUGCAAGUCGAGCGGAUGAAGGGAGCUUGCUCCUGGAUUCAGCGGCGGACGGGUGAGUAAUGCCUAGGAAUCUGCCUGGUAUUGGGGGAUAACGUCCGGAAACGGGCGCUAAUACCGCAUACGUCCUGAUGGAGAAAGUGGGGGAUCUUCGGACCUCACGCUAUCAGAUGAGCCUAGGUCGGAUUAGCUAGUUGGUGGGGUAAAGGCCUACCAAGGCGACGAUCCGUAACUGGUCUGAGAGGAUGAUCAGUCACACUGGAACUGAGACACGGUCCAGACUCCUACGGGAGGCAGCAGUGGGGAAUAUUGGACAAUGGGCGAAAGCCUGAUCCAGCCAUGCCGCGUGUGUGAAGAAGGUCUUCGGAUUGUAAAGCACUUUAAGUUGGGAGGAAGGGCAGUAAGUUAAUACCUUGCUGUUUUGACGGUACCAACAGAAUAAGCACCGGCUAACUUCGUG